ACAGAGGUGGCAAGCGUUGUUCGGAAUUACUGGGCGUAAAGCGCGCGUAGGCGGCUUUGUAAGUUAGAGGUGAAAGCCCGGGGCUCAACUCCGGAACUGCCUUUAAGACUGCAUCGCUAGAAUCCGGGAGAGGUGAGUGGAAUUCCGAGUGUAGAGGUGAAAUUCGUAGAUAUUCGGAAGAACACCAGUGGCGAAGGCGGCUCACUGGUCCGGUACUGACGCUGAGACGCGAAAGCGUGGGGAGCGAACAGGA
Molecule: ribosomal RNA, 253 nt
Filed under: uncultured prokaryote
Description: partial 16S ribosomal RNA
Rfam family: Bacterial small subunit ribosomal RNA
Source: RNAcentral